RNAcentral lists this ribosomal RNA (253 nucleotides) under uncultured bacterium. RNAcentral describes it as "partial 16S ribosomal RNA". It matches the Rfam family "Bacterial small subunit ribosomal RNA", at positions 524 to 776 of the family's 1533-position model. The record is from RNAcentral. RNAcentral also lists the same sequence under 1 other name.
UACGUAGGGUGCGAGCGUUAAUCGGAAUUACUGGGCGUAAAGCGUGCGCAGGCGGUUUUAUAAGCCAGAUGUGAAAGCCCCGGGCUCAACCUGGGAAUGGCAUUUGGGACUGUAAGGCUGGAGUAUGGCAGAGGAGACUAGAAUUCCUGGUGUAGCAGUGAAAUGCGUAGAUAUCAGGAGGAAUACCGAUGGCGAAGGCAGGUCUCUGGGCCAAUACUGACGCUCAUGCACGAAAGCGUGGGGAGCAAACAGG